CCUACGGGUGGCUGCAGUGGGGGAUAUUGGACAAUGGGGGGAACCCUGAUCCAGCGACGCCGCGUGAGUGAAGAAGUAUCUCGGUAUGUAAAGCUCUAUCAGCAGGGAAGAAGAAAUGACGGUACCUGAGUAAGAAGCCCCGGCUAACUACGUGCCAGCAGCCGCGGUAAUACGUAGGGGGCAAGCGUUAUCCGGAAUUACUGGGUGUAAAGGGAGCGUAGACGGUGAUGUAAGUCUGGAGUGAAAGGCGGGGGCCCAACCCCCGGACUGCUCUGGAAACUAUUGAACUUGAGUGCAGGAGAGGUAAGCGGAAUUCCUAGUGUAGCGGUGAAAUGCGUAGAUAUUAGGAGGAACACCAGUGGCGAAGGCGGCUUACUGGACUGUAACUGACGUUGAGGCUCGAAAGCGUGGGGAGCAAACAGGAUUAGAUACCCCAGUAGUC
RNAcentral lists this ribosomal RNA (442 nucleotides) under uncultured bacterium. RNAcentral describes it as "partial 16S ribosomal RNA". It matches the Rfam family "Bacterial small subunit ribosomal RNA", at positions 338 to 795 of the family's 1533-position model. The record is from RNAcentral.